ACGUAGGGUGCUAGCGUUGCUCGGAAUUAUUGGGCGUAAAGCGCGUGUAGGUUGUUUUGUAAGUCGGAUGUGAAAGCCCCGGGCUCAACCCGGGAAGUGCAUUCGAAACUACAUGACUAGAGGAGAGUAGAGGAUGGUGGAAUUCAAGGUGUAGAGGUGAAAUUCGUAGAUAUCUUGAGGAAUACCGGCGGCGAAGGCGGCCAUCUGGGCUCUUUCUGACACUGAGACGCGAAAGCGUGGGUAGCAAACAGG
Molecule: ribosomal RNA, 252 nt
Filed under: uncultured bacterium
Lineage: Bacteria
Description: partial 16S ribosomal RNA
Rfam family: Bacterial small subunit ribosomal RNA
Source: RNAcentral